GAGAUUUUUCUCCGCGGGAACGGGACAGGGAUGGGGAUUAUUUUUUAUCCCCGUAACGGGGAAAGGGCGGGGAUGGAGAUUGAUAUCCCCGCCCCUCCCAUUGCCAUCCCCAUAUCUUCUUAUCUGCACGCUCCCCUUCUUAAUUUGGGACUUAAUCAACGGUCACUUUUAAUUGAAAAAUUAAAAAAAAAAAAAGUACUAUCCAACGUUGCGUGCUAAUUUAAAACGAGGUCACUGACUCAAGUGGGUAAGCCGACUCCAAAGGACCACCAACGGCCACCAACGCUUUUUCCAGAAAACUUUGGUUCGGGUCCUUUUCUAUCUGUCGUCAUUGUUCUUCUCUAAUUAUGGGAAUCAAGUCUUCUAUAUAACCCAUGCUCAAGGUAAAAUUAUGUUGUGUGAUAAGAAACCAUGGGUGCCGCCCUUACUACUUUUGAAAACCACACCGCUGCUGAGCUUCAACUGAGGUUCUUUAGACCCCCGGCGCGACCAGACCACUUUCGUAGGACCAUUACAAUCAGAGCGGGUGGGAGAGCAAAUGUACCACACUCAGAUUUACGUUACAACGACACUGACCCAGAAAGGCACGAGGUGAUAAUGAUAUUUGUCGAUGGAGUUGGCACCGGCGUCGGAUUGGUUCCACGUCAAGUCUUGAACUUGUCGAGAGUCAUUUGUGGCAUAAAUGAAGCUGGAAGAUUGGCCAUUCGGGGAGUCCCAAAAUGGGGGUGUGGAUGCUUUGCAGGCGGUGGUUUAGAGGAGCUAGCAUAAGAUCUGGCCUUGGCACUCUCGUCUGCUACUCGUAGACUUCCUGCACUGCAUCGCCAGUUCUUGUGUUUUGUCGCUGUGUUUUUCUUCUUAGUUGAGUCUGUGUAGCUGAAAUAAGCGGCUGGUCCGCUGUCUGGUUUUUUGGGUUCCUUUUGCCCAUAAAGACAGAGACUUGUCAUGUGGUGAGUCAACAUUCUGCCUCUUCCUGCCAAAAACACCCACAAAGGUCUCAUUCAUAAUCUAAUAAUCUUCAAAUUCCAA
This is a long non-coding RNA of Mangifera indica (mango), 1026 nucleotides long. RefSeq lists it as uncharacterized. The transcript has 3 exons. The record is from RefSeq and is a predicted model, not a curated record. Lineage: Eukaryota; Viridiplantae; Streptophyta; Magnoliopsida; Sapindales; Anacardiaceae.